This 10575-nucleotide long non-coding RNA is filed under the name Lynx pardinus (Iberian lynx). Lineage: Eukaryota; Metazoa; Chordata; Mammalia; Carnivora; Felidae. The record is from RNAcentral.
CUUAUUCAGAAAGGCUUUGCAGUUUUCAUAGCACUUUUAGACAUAUUGUAUUUGACCCUCAUGGCAACUUGAUGAGGCAGAAAAAAAGUAAGUAUUAUUAUCUACAUUUUAUAGGUAAGGAAACAGGUUAAGAGUGGUUACAUGAUUUAACCAAAGUAACCUGGCAUAUACAGAGCACAGCAGAGAUCAAAAGUCAGUUUACCUGGAUUCCUGUCUCCUGCUUUUAUCUACUGUCUUAGACUAUAAUAGCAAGUCACCAAAAACAACAACAACAACAACAACAACAACAACAACAACAACAACAACAAAAGCUAUGUGCUAUUAUGGUCUGAAUGUGUACCCUCAACAUUCACAUGGCAAAAUCCUAACUCCCAAAGAUCAUUGGGAGGAGGAAAUUUGGGGAGAUGCUUAGGUCAUACAAAUGGAGCCCUCAUGAAUGGGAUUGGUGCCUUAUAAACGAGGCUCCAGAGAGAUCCCUAGCCCCUCCCACCACGUGAGGAUACAGCAAGAAGGCACUAGCUAUGAACCAGGAGGAGGGCCUCCAGCAGAACAUGAUCCUGUUGGUGACAUGUUCUUAGACUUCCCAGAACAGUGAGAAAUAAAUGUGUAUUGUUUACAAGCUGCCUGGUCUGUAGUGUUUUGUUACAGCAGCCUGUAAGAUUAAGACAUUAUGUUUCAAGUGUGUGGCUUUACUAUUUGCUUUGUGGUAGGAAGAAUGCAGAAUCUUUCUUAUGCAUUUUCCUAGUAUUGUAGAGACAGAGGGAUCUCUGAGACUUUAUCUGUUUUAUCCUCCUGUAUCAAAGCAGGAUUUCACAUAGGUCAUAUCUGGCAGACCAGGCAUCUAUUUGAAGAUAGAGUGUUUUUAAAAUCCUCAAGGAAUGUAAUUUCAACCAACUUCAUCCACAAUAUAUUUUUUUACAAAAUAAUUUGACCAAAUUGCUAAGUCUUUUAUACUCUGCCUAAUAUUUUAUGGAAUUUGUAGAAAACUAAGAUUUCUUUUGUAUUCUCAUUCAGAACAAUCCAGCUAUUCUAAAAGUGAUAAGUAUGUUUAAGCAUCAAUAUAUAUUUUGUUUUAAAAUACCAAAACUAAAUGGUGGCUUACAUACUUAUAAAGGGCCCAGAUUAACCUAUUCCUAUUAGCAAGUGACUUGAGCCAAUAAAUGCCCUUAACUUUUUAGUCAUUCUGACACUAAGUGCCUGGUUUAAAUGCAGCAUAUGCAGUGUGUGUGUGUGUGUGUGUGUGUGUGUGUGUGUGUGUGUGUGUGUAUGUGCAUGUAGCAGGCAGCAGAUGUUGGCCCUUUCAUGAGGCAGAGACAAUAGAGAGAGGGAGGAGGUCUUUCUCUGGCCACACAGACCACAGACAUGUGGCAUUACUGUGGCCAGCCUAGCAAGAGAUAGUCAAUGAUACACUGGCAGGAUCCAAGGGGAUUGGGAAUGCGUCCCACUGCUCUAAGGAGUCCUCUUCUUCACUUGCCCAGUGGUCCAGUCACAUAAAAGACUCAGAAAACCCAAGCUUUGAAAUUAAGGCUCCUAGGAGCUAGUAGAUCAGGCCACCAUGACCUAGAGACAGAAAAACCUAUGCCAGUCAGUCAUAGCCCUAUUGAUGCCUAAGGAUACCCUGUGCCUUCAGAUUGAGCAGCUGUUCCUUUACUGUGAUGUCCCCAUUAUUGACAGAUUACAUUUCAGAGAAGUGCCACCCACCCUAAUAGAAAGCUGCCAGCUCCAGCCCCUGUCACACAUUAGUCCUUAGCUACCAGAAGGGGAAGUAUGGUGCUCAAAGUGUCUGGCUGACUGGUCCUGCGUUAGAGAUGAACAGUCACAGUCUGAGGGGCUAAUGGCAGGUACAAAGACCAGAUUCUAGGCCAUUUUGUCAACUUACUGCCUUGUCCUAACCCCUGGCUCCUUUCUUGGGAUAUCAAUAACCUAAGAGACCACUGCCAUUAAACUGGGCACGGCGAGAAACUGGUGCUUUCCGUUACUUGAUGUCUAUAUUUUCCUUUGUUUCCAGGCUUUUAUCAGCCAGAGUCUGAUAAAAAAAAGUCUGCAAACGCAGGAUUUCUCUUGAUCUCAACUAUCUGCCACCAUCAUUGUCUACCUGUCUUGCUGAGUACUGAAUUCCCCUUGCUCUAAUAUCAAGCAAUUCUUAGGUAAGUUCAUUUAGCAAUAAACCCAAGGGGUUGGCCCCAUGUUGCAAAUAUGAUUACACAUAAUGCGGAAUUUACAUUUUAUGUCCUUAUCUCUCUCCAAACUCAAGAACAAGAUGUUCUACAAGUGUAUGGACACCAACUCAGAGAAGAAGGCCAUCAAGCUUUUCAUUCCCCCUAUAAGGGUCCCAGAUCUUUCUAAAAAAUAGGUACUCUACUUCUGCCAGGAAACCCCAGUGAUCCAUGUGAAUAUUACCUGUCUAAGAACAUUAUCAGUGCCCAAUGAUCCAGAGGCUCCAAAAAGACAGUCUUUACAAAAUGAGAUGUCCAGGACACCUACAACCCUAUCGAUAUCUGAUGAUAAGUAAAAGGUGACCUUUCAACUUUACCACAACCCAGCUUUCACUGAAAAACAUCUUAAACAUCUUAACCUCCUGAAACUAAGGAGACAUGACCUGAUGAUAUGCCAACAUGCUCGGUCUAGCUGACAUUUCAUGAUCCAGAGACUUUAUCAACUACCCAAUGCUACCACCUCCAGGUCAAUUCUAAGAUAUGUGUAUUUGAAAACACUGAGGUGGUGUUCUGGAAUAAAAUCUGUCCACCAGAAGGUUCCCAGAAGGGAGUUCUGCCCCAGAUGUCAUUAGGGCAACCCGACACCGAGCCACUCCAGGUUACAUGGGUCUCUGUCUUUGGCCACUUAUUCUCUACUGUUUUUGUAUAUUUUUCUCUAGUAAUUUUGUUUUCUGGUGUGGCCCAAAGGCCACUGCUGCAUCCCGGGAAAGGAAGACCUUAUUUUUCUUUACUCCAAACAUCAUGCACUCUCCAAUAUGGCGAGUAGGUCUAGAAAGGUUUAGUACCAGGAGCCUCUAUUUCCACUUGAGUUGGUAUUCUUCUGGAUGUCUGACUCCUGAAAAUCUCAUAUUGCCUCUUAGCUUAUCCCAUUACAGGCUAUUAGACUAUAGCAGGUGACAUUGUUCUGGAAUCCUGGGGUGGGGGAGGAUGUCAUCAUUUUUCAAGCACUUUUCCUUUUCCAUUUCACAAGUAUCAGGUACGUCAAAAUAGUAGAUAAAAGCCCUACAUUAGAAACAAGAAUAUGAGAGAUUUCAUCUCCACCAACCUGUUACUGCCACCCCUGCUUGCUGAAGAGAUUUCCUGCUUCUGUGGACUGUUGUGCUACAGAAAAUUCAACUGCAGCUCCUGGAAGGUCUCGAAACUCAUAAGAGAACUGUUCAAUAUUGUCCAAGUUUUGAUUUACCCAUCCUAAGGCUAACAAUCAAUUAUUAUAAAUUGGAUCCUUGAAGAAUAACUGCCCAGUUCCCACUGCCCAGUUCCCACACAUAGCAAACCCAGCCACAUCCUUGGCUUAUGUAACUCACCACACUCUUCAACCCACAGCACUCCUUUUAACAGCAACUAGAGCUUCCAGCCAUAUGAACCCUCCCUUUCCUCAUAUUACAUUCAGUAGGAAACAACGUGUCCUUAGAAUGACCCUUAGGAAAUCCAUGGGUAAGCCGAGGAGUGGGAUCAUCAUUUAACAGAAGUUCCUGGAUACGCUGUUUCAUGGGAGGCAGUCUGGCUUUUCUCUAAACCCAUACAUACCACUAAGCCCCAGAAAGAAGCUGGGGAGGGAUAUAUGUGGUUUUUCACUAAUGCUUUUGGUCUUCCAAGUACAAUUUCCUUUUUCCCUGAACAUCCUCCUCGUAUUCUGCUUACCAUACUCUACUUAACAAAGGGAGUACUCAGGAAGAAAGCACCAGUGUCUCAGUCCAUUCAAGCUGCCGGCACAAAGCUCUAUAGACUGGGUGGCUUAUAAACGAUAGAAAUUUCUGUCUCACGGUUCUGGAGGCUGGAAGUCUGAGAUUGGGGUGCCAGCAUGGUCCAGUGCUAGUGAGAGCCCUCUUCUGGGUCUCAGAUGGUAUCUUCACACAGCAGACAGCAGAAGGAAGCAAGAUUCAGUAAUUGUUAUAAGGGCACUAAUUCCAAUCGGGGAGGCUCCACCCUCAUGAUAUCAUCUAAUCCCAAUUACCACCCAAAGGCCCACCUCCAAACACCAUCACAUAGUGUGUGUGUGUGUGUGGGGGGGGUGCUUAACAUAUAAAUUUGGGGGGACACAAAUAUUUAGUCUAUAACACCAAGAUCCACCGUACACUGAGAUGUGUUGGCCAGCUUGAAUAGGAGUUUAACUCUACGUCACAUCAUUCCUCAUCAGGUCUUAACUCUGAGUGUAUCAGGAAAACCCCAGCCCAUUUAUACCUUCAAGCUAGUUCAGUACUCUCAACAACUAUAAUAUUUUACCUCCUAUUUGCCCUAAACUUAUCUUAUUUCUGUAACAUAGAGAAGAUAGUUUCACCUGUUUUCAAUGUGUUCCCUGACACUGAAAAUGUAGUCUCAAUCUCAUUUUUAAAUAUAUUAACUAGGGUUAUGUAUUUCAUAACUGAUAGUAUCUAGUUUAAAAGGUAGCUUUCUCUCUAUAGAGGAAAUUUUCUUGAUUUGGGUCUUCAAUCGGGCUACCCAUUAUCAGUUCAUAAGAUCCAUGACUACUUUUCCAGAAAGUUUAAGUAGACUCUUAGAGGAGCAGAAUGAAUAUCAGAUAUUGACACAUUCAUGAUUUAAGGCACUGGCAAUGAGAGGUAUAUAAAUCAUUGUAUUAAUAUGUGAAAAACAACUUUGAGUGAAUCAUAAAUUCUUUCUAUCCUGAAGCCCAGAACAGUCUGGCACUAGGGGGAAAAAGUCAGAGAUUCCUCUUUCCCUUCUUCCCAUAAUUUUCUUGCAAAUAGCGUAUUCACUGAAACGUAUUCCAGUAUUUCUUGAGAGCUCAGUUACUAAGAUGGAAUCUUAGAAGGAGAAGUAGGCUAUACGAUUAAAAUAUUAAUUGAUAGUUACCGUAAUAUUCCUUCCAAGAAAUAAUCUCUUUCUCAUGUUCAAAAAUAAAACUAGAAAAGCUUAUUAUUUCAGUUAACCAAAUUCAAAUAGUUUCUGGACAGUUAAAUAUGGCAUUUUGUAGGCCAUAAAAAGAAGCAACAUACUGUUUCUGAUCUUAAAAGAACACAAAUCUGGUCAGAAAAACAGUAAAAGUAUACAUAUGCUAAAAUACAGUAAAUUUUUUUUUUUAAAUUUUUUUCUUUCAACGUUUUUUAUUUAUUUUUGGGACAGAGAGAGACAGAGCAUGAACGGGGGAGGGGCAGAGAGAGAGGGAGACACAGAAUCGGAAACAGGAUCCAGGCUCCGAGCCAUCAGCCCAGAGCCCGACGCGGGGCUCGAACUCACAGACCGUGAGAUCGUGACCUGGCUGAAGUCGGACGCUUAACCAACUGCGCCACCCAGGCGCCCCUACAGUAAAUUUUUUAAAAUACAGGAUCACAUUCUUUUGAGACCAACAAAAAGGAUUUUAAGCUUCAUGGAGAUGGAAACUUCAAAUCAGGUCUUGAGAAAUUAGGUAAGAUUUCCAGAAGUUGCUCUCUGGAAAGGAUUUAAGUAAAUCUGGGGGAAAUAAGUAAAUUCUGUGAUUAAUUAUGUGUCAACAGCUGAACUUAGAGGUUCCAAAAUGAGAGAACAAUUAGAUUGUUGCAUAUAACAAAUAAAUAAAUAAAUAAAUAAAUAAAUAAAUAAAUAAAUAAAUAGUAUAUGCACAAGUAAUAAGUAAUUUUUUUACACAAGUAAAAGUGAAACUUUUCGGCUGUUUCAUUCUGGAAGGCUGUUGCCCUCCACAAGAACACUUGAUGUUACCCUCUGGCAAGAUACAGCUGGAACUCUGAAGUUGAGUGUCAGUGGUUUAAAUUAAGAAACAGCUUGUGAUAUUAAAAUUAAGACACUUUUGAAUAAAGCAACAAGACAUAUCACAAACUUCACAGAGAUAUAGAGCCUUUCAUAUAGUUCAGCAAAUACAGGAACAGGAUUCUCUUUAUUUAUUAAUUUGAUAUGCAUUCAUUAGGUACCAACUGUCUACCCCAUAUUGCACUAAUUACCAGGAAGAUGUAAAAGAAAGCAUGGAAAUAGUCCUUUCCCAACAGGUUGCCUAAUAUCUAAGAGGUGAAAUAAAAUGUGUAAAAAUAAAGUGGAAAGAAAUUUCUGGACAAAAUAUGAGGAAUUGAGAAAUGCAAAUGCUACCUACAGUUUUUCUCUCUCCCAGGGGGCUCACAGCACAUCAUAAUUACCUGGCAGAAAGUAUCAUUCUCAUAAGCAUUUUGCAAUGUGAUUGGCAAGGGAUGCAGAGAAUCUAAGCGAUCUGCAUAAAAACCUCGUGAGCUGAGUGGGAGAACUAGAAAUUAGUUUUCUAUAUAGUACAUUGCAAGGAAUACUGGUAGGUCCAGAGUCAGAAGUCCUCAAGGUUAUUUUUCCCUGUACUUUUGAGGCAUCAGGUGAUUCCAGGAAAGUUAUUUCACUUCUCUGAAAUAAGGUUUCUCCAUCUGGGGGUGAUAUCCUGGGAUAUCUACCUUGCCUAUCUCACAGGGCUUCUAUGUGAAUGGAAUGAGUUGGGGUGGGGGGAGGUGAGAAUUUUAAAGAGCUGUGCAAUGCACAAAACAUUUUAUAAGUAUAUUGUAGGAUAUCUUUAUGAUUGAUCGAUUGAUUGUGAGCCUAUGUGCAGUGUCUGUGAAAGGCGUGUUCUCAAAAAACUGAUGGUACAGAGGAGAAAUCUGCUAUUCCAGUUGCUAAACGUUCCAAUAGGCACAGUGUUACACUUUGGGUGGCAGAAGAAGUGAGAAGAAGAGCUGAAAAGUAGAUUAAAAAAAACAGCCUCAGGUGCCCAGGCACAAAUGCUAGAGGAUAAUAGAGACAGCUGUGGAAGUGUCUAGAUUACAGAGGAUCCGGGCAGCCCCGCUACAUCUCUCUCAGCUACAAAAAAAAAGCACUGAAGUCUUUCCAAUCCCCCAAGAUGGGCUCAUAAAUUAACUGAAAAAGAGAGAAAGCCAGCUGGCCCAAACAUGACUCCCUGGUUGUCACAGAGAAGUACCACAAGAGAAAGCAGCAAAGACCAUAACAUCGGGGACAGUAUAGAAACACGGGAAUCUGGCUGCUUGAUGAACACCAGCAAGGGGCGGUGAUCAUGCCCCAAGACCUGCCCCGGCACAGACAGACACCGCUGAAUGGCCCAUGAACUUUCAGACAAUGCCAUACAACUAAGUAAUUCCCUAGAAAUUUUGAUGCCAGGAGAAGUGAGGUGAAAAGUAAAGAAGGGCAAAUCACGACCAACUGAGUUUUGAUGUGAAAUGACUAAGAAAAACACAAAGUGACUGGGGUCAUCUAGAACUAACUAGAAGCAUUUUCCACCAUCAGGAGUAUAGAAAACCUGACAUGGAAGUUACGGUCUGUAUACAAAAACAAGGUUGUAUCUUUGGGGACCACUCCAUAUUGGAGACUGAAAACAUCAUAUCUGCUAUAGGAUUUUAUUCUGCAGAUAAUGAAACAUUUUAAGGUAUAGAAACAUUUUAAGCAGAAGAGUGACAUAAUCAGAUCAAUCUAUCAUAAAGAAAGGUGUGGGAGAAUGCUGACAGAAAGGAACCGAAUGGCGGAAGCAAACUAUACAGCCGCCCCUGGUAGUCUAGCUCAGUGAUCCUUAAAUUUUAACGUGCACACAAAUCACCUAGGGGGCAUGUUAAAAUGCAAAUUUGGAUUUUUCCCGGUGCUGAGGGAGUCACUGCAUUCUCGGUUUCUUUUAAAAAAUUUUUUUAAUGUUUAUUUAUUUUUGAGAGAGAGAGAGAGAUAGAGUGUGAGCCAGGGAGGGGCAGAGAGAGAGGGAGACACAGAAUCCGAAGCAGGCUCCAGGCUCUGAGCUGUCAGCACAGAGCUUGGCGUGGGGCUUGAACUCACAAACUGCAAGAUCAUGACCUGAGCCGAAGUCGGACGCUUAACCGACUGAGCCACCCAGGUGCCCGUGCAUUCUCAGUUUCUGACAAACGCCCAGGUGAGGCUGAUGCUCCUGUCCAUGGAGCAUGUUUUCGGUGGCAAGGUGACCGACGCCUGAACUAGGCGGUGACAGUGGAAAAGCAGAAGAAAAGACAUGGCUGAGAAGUGGUCAGGAAGUAAAAAUGGCAAGACUCAGUGACUGAUUAGGGAAAGAGGAAACAUUCAUGAUGACUCCAAGAUUUUCAGGCCUGGACAAUAGGGUGGAUCAUAGUGCCAUUAACUGAGCCUUUGGUAAAUAAAGGUUUAUGCAGAAACACCGCAAGACCUUUGUGCAUAUGUCUUUUAUAAAUAUUUAUUUUUACCAAGUUACUGAGAAAUACCCCUACUGUGUGAGAUUGCUUUUUGAGUAGUUUCAGAUUGGGAUCCAUCUGUCUUUACUUCGUGGGUUUGGGCUGCUUUGUUUUCAUUGCACAUUGUUAAUGGUUUGCCCCGAAUAAACUGAAAAUAUACCAUUAGGGAGAUCAGCAGACACGGAGCCUAAAAGCACCCUAGUGCUGCAUGGUCAGGAGUCAUUAGAGGUGCAGCAGAAAGUCUAGAGUGGUCCAUGUGGUUGCCAAAAAGCAUCCAUGGAGAUGAACUAUUGGAAAUGGCCGUGCAAUUUUAGCUCUCCUUUCAGAUUCUUAGUGAGGCGAGGCCAGAUUAGAUUCAAGCCCUAGUCUGUGCUCUAUGUGCAUGUUUGGAAGGAGGGGGGCACGAAGGAGAGAGGAGAAGUGGGGCGGGAAGGGUAGCAUUGUGCUUCUGUGAACUGGUUUCCUUAAUGCAAGGAGGUAGCACUUACAGCAGCAGUUCAUGGCUUCCCCAGGAAACCAUUCUAAGUGGGCCACGUGCCCAAUGGUUUCUAUCCCAGUUAAGUAAAUAAAUGAAAUAUGCUAAUUAGCACCCUAUUAGCUCACAGCAGGGAGUAAUCCAUGGCAUUUUGAUUGGAAAGAAUUCUGUCAUCCAAAAGACUGGUCUGUAACAGAACGCAAACCGGCCCAAUUUCCUCCCUCCCUUCCUGCUUCCUCGUGGCAGUUGUCCAAAUGUCUGAGAAGCAGACCUCACAACUGUGUGCAAUUCCAAGGGUGUCACCGCGCUCCGGGAAAGCACCUCCUGGCCUCCACGGAAUCUGGCACUGUGCCGGGCUCUGAGAACAGAUUUAUACGAUCCAGAAAUGUGGACCAGAGCUCAGAAAUAUCGUGUAGGUUUGGGGGGGCCUUUAGGGGGCAGCUCUUAUUUCUUUCAUUAUGAGAGUAACCCCAUUUUUAUUCUCUGGCCCUCCCCGACUCCAAUCCAGAAUGCAUUUCCUUAACUCAGGUACACAGGCACGCUGCCACGGAGUGGUUCAGCUGAAGGAGGCCUUCUGAUUAAAAUGGUAGAGCUGUGGGGUCUUAGUUGGGGAAAGGCAAGCUCAGGUAGGGUCACCUCUUUAUAUUGUUAUUGUUUCAGCUGCAGGGGAAUUCCAUCUAGCUCCCGUUUUCCUAUUCCUAUUUAAAUGCCUAGAUUUACAUCUUGCCUAUCUCCUACCACUUUGCCGAAGGAGGGAUUUAGGGGCAGGAUGGACACUGAAGGAAAAAGCUCAGUACAAAAAACAGCAUGUUUUCCAAUUUGCUCUUUUAAAACAUCCACUUUUCCAAGGGCUCUGGGUGUUUAAAGGGAUUAGAUAUUAUGACACAUCUGUCAGGUUGUCUCAGAAUUUAUCAGAAAUCCCCAUCAGAGUGGGAUUUAGGCAAUGAAGCUUACUUAUAUCAUGGCCAGGCUUCUAAUGCUUUUCUGUUCUUGAUACCAAAAGUUACAGGGAUAACCUUGUGUUCACUGAUGGCUGCUUAAUAAAACGGGUGGGGUGGGGAGAUAGGAUUUUUAAUCAUCUGAAUGUUACAGAAGUAAGUUGCCAGUGUUUUUUUUUUUUUUUUUUCCCUCAAGUUCGGUCCUUUGUAUGAUGACCUACAAAAGCCAAAUAGAAAUUGUAUGCCUAUGACAAGCCUCAGGAAAACACUCAUCUCUGCAUGCUCUUAUGUUUCCUUCCUGGUAAGAAAGUGAUUAUACUGACUUAAAGUUUAAAAUUUUUAAUGGAAUGUAUGUGUUGGCUUCAAAUACAUCACUCUUUUUUCUUUCCCCCAUACUAGUUUUUCUUGUACCUAGGAAGAGAAUCUAUUUAUCUUGGUAAGAUAUAAAUUCAAAUCGAAUGCUGAAUACCAGCUGUUGUAUCAGCCACAUUUUGAAAUUCAACUUUAAAUGAAAUCUUGAAGAAAGCAAGUCCAAGAAAAACCUCACAGUAAAAUAUGUGUCUCAGUCACUACCAUUACCACAUUGAUCGCCAUACCUGAAGAAAUCGUUAGGCAUCCUAUGACACUAAUGUAUAUUUAGAAUGUUUUUUUUUUAAUCCUGUAUUGGAAAAUAAAGCACAUUACCUAAAUGAUUCAAAUGGAAAAAAAAAUCAUUCUUAAAAGCCAUCUGUGAAUUAGCAUAUGGGCUUCUGGAACCCAACAUCUUGGUUCUAUAUGUGAGUCAGAAGGAAAAAAAAAAAAAAAAAGAAGAAGAAAGGAAAGAA